GUCGAGAAUCUUCCGCAAUGCGCGAAAGCGUGACGGAGCGACACCGCGUGAUGGAUGAAGUCCUUCGGGGCGUAAACAUCUUUUAUAAAGGAGGAAAUUUUUGACGUUACUUUAUGAAUAAGGGGCUCCCAAUCUCGUGCCAGCAGGAGCGGUAAUACGAGAGCCUCAAGCGUUAUCCGGAAUCAUUGGGCGUAAAGGGUGCGUAGGUGGUUUGAUUAGUCUCCCGUUAAAACUUCGAGCUUAACUCGAAAAGAGCGGGGGAAACGGUCAAUCUAGAGUAUGUGAGAGGAGUGUGGAACUCAUGGUGUAGGGGUGAAAUCCGUUGAUAUCAUGGGGAACACCAAAAGCGAAGGCAGCACACUGGCACAUCACUGACACUGAGGCACGAAACCUAAGGUAGCGAAUGGGAUUAGAUACCCUUGUAGUCC
RNAcentral lists this ribosomal RNA (428 nucleotides) under uncultured bacterium. Its description in RNAcentral is "bacterial SSU rRNA". It matches the Rfam family "Bacterial small subunit ribosomal RNA", at positions 354 to 796 of the family's 1533-position model. The record is from RNAcentral.